This 524-nucleotide ribosomal RNA is filed under the name uncultured bacterium. RNAcentral's name for it is "bacterial SSU rRNA". It matches the Rfam family "Bacterial small subunit ribosomal RNA", at positions 381 to 896 of the family's 1533-position model. The record is from RNAcentral.
ACCUGACGGAGUGACGCCGCGUGGGGGACGAAGGCCUUCGGGUCGUAAACCCCUGUCAGAGGGAAAGAAGGGUGUCGGCGCGAUAACCGCCGGCACCUGACGGUACCUUCAGAGGAAGCCCCGGCCAACUCUGUGCCAGCAGCCGCAGUAAGACAGAGGGGGCAAGCGUUGCUCGGAAUCACUGGGCGUAAAGGGCGCGUAGGCGGAGGGCAAGUCAGUCGUGAAAUCCUUCGGCUCAACCGAAGAACGUCGGCUGAUACUGCCUUUCUUGAGGGAUGCAGAGGAGACUGGAAUUCCCGGUGUAGCGGUGAAAUGUGUAGAGAUCGGGAGGAACACCGGUGGCGAAGGCGGGUCUCUGGGCAUCUCCUGACGCUGAGGCGCGGAAGCGUGGGGAGCAAACGGGAUUAGAUACCCCGGUAGUCCACGCUGUAAACGAUGACGACUAGGUGUGGGGGGGUUCAGUCCUUUCCGUGCCGCAGCUAACGCAUUAAGUCGUCCGCCUGGGGAGUACGGCCGCAAGGUUG